AUGACGAUAAUUGCCAGAUCCUUGGCCCCUUACCUUCCAGAUGCCUUGAUCUUCAGCAUCCUCUCACGGCUCCCUUCCAAGUCAGCCAUCCGAUGCAAGUCCGUGUGCAAGGCCUGGCAUGCCAUGAUAUCAGAUUGCCAUUUUGUCAACCAUCACCUGGAGCUUUCCAAGGCAGCAUGUCAAUCAAUGCUUGUACUACCUCUUUCGUACUGCAGAGCUGCAGCACACGAAGGGCUGGUGUCCUUCUGGAUGGAUUUUUACACUUCUGGUGCUGGUAAUGUAGCAGCAGAGCUGAUAUACAGCGAGCACAUCCCUCAAGGCAUCGGUCGAUGCGCUCAGCCCGUGCAUUGUGACGGCCUGAUUCUUGUUCCCACACUAAGGCAGGAAUAUAUCGUCUGCAAUCCUGCGACCAGGGAGUUUGUGACCUUGCCAAAGGGCAGUCAUAACCACAAUGAGAAGCAUCAUAGGAUUGGAUUUGGUUUCGACCCAAGCAGUGAUCGCUACAAAGUGGCAAGAUUCUUCUAUCAACCAAAAAAAGAUGGGACAUCCGAAACGAUUUGCAGGUUUGAGGUGCUCACGCUGGGGACGCACGAAUGGAGACAAACUGUGGAUCCACCAUACCCACUUAUGGGGGUAACUCCGGCUCAUGUGCGAGGCGCCAUUUACUGGAUGGUUAAUUUGCCAUGUGUUGGAGAGCAUCCAAAUGUGUUCAUCCGCUUCGAUUUAUCUAACGAGGAGUUCACUCUCACUCCAUGUCCUCCGUGUGAGCGCACAGAGCCUACAUAUUUCAUCGAAUUGGAGGGUCAGUUAUGUUGUGCUUGCUUCACCAAAAAACGUUUUAUAGAAACCCGUGAUCUUGUGGAGAUUUGGAUCUGCAAUCAAACUGAGCCUCCAACAUGGACGCGACGAUGCACCAUUCCGAUAUCCAAGGACUGGAUUGUGCCCUACCCUACUGGUGGUUUCAAGCUUCCGAAAGUUAUGUUUUGGGAGAAAGAUUUGCUUCUUGUCUGUGAUUAUAAGGCGUACAGGUUCUGUGUACAAACUGGACAGAUCAAAGAGGUUGCUGGAGCUCUUAAGAACCGGCAGUACUACGAUCCGCGGAACAACAGCUACACCAUGUUUUUGGGGAAGGACGUGGAUUUCUAUAUUGCUAACUAUGCCGAGAGUUUAGUUUGA
RNAcentral lists this ribosomal RNA (1176 nucleotides) under Triticum aestivum (bread wheat). RNAcentral describes it as "partial small subunit ribosomal RNA". Lineage: Eukaryota; Viridiplantae; Streptophyta; Magnoliopsida; Poales; Poaceae. The record is from RNAcentral.